Homo sapiens (human) is the source of this 2691-nucleotide long non-coding RNA. The record is from Ensembl. NCBI's taxonomy places the organism in Eukaryota, Metazoa, Chordata, Mammalia, Primates, Hominidae.
UAGGAACAACACAGACCAUUUGCUCUGAUUCAACGAUUUUUAUGAGCACCAUUAAGUGAAAAUGGGCAAGUAACUCUGUGGCUCAGGGCAAAGCCCCCACAGCGAUGUGAUGAAAAAUCUUGGCAAGAACCCAUGAAAGAGAACCCUUCAAAUCAAAUCAAACAAAUGCGGAUCUACUAGGAGGAAGGGCCUUGUUUUUCAUUUAAAAUAAUCUUUUAAAGAGUAGACAAUAAUCCAAACACCUCUGGGUUACUAUAUCUUCUAGGAGAAUACUGAUUUUGAUAAAAAUAUUUAAAUCAAAAAUUUUAGGUAAUUUUACCUUCAAAUAGCUUAGGCACCUUAGACCAAAGUUUGCACAUUCUACAAAUAUUGACACAAUAACACCAUUUUAAAUCUUUACCCACCAUUUGUUGGGUUAUGUCAAAUGUAACUCAGGAUAAAAAGUUGUUCAGAUAAGUGAUUGGUACAAUUGGAAUUUAUAGAUUAAAAAUUUGUUACAAGGAAUUAAAAGUUUUUCUUACCUAACCUCUCAAUAAUUUUCCAAAGAAAAUGUGUGAUGUGUCCCUUGCUCUGCCCUUCACUCUAGUGUUUUAUUUUGCAUCAUGGAUGCAUUUCUUUUAAUUUUCUUCAUAUAACUCUUCACAUGUACUCUUGAGAUUGCAUAUUGCUUCAACAAUCCUUGCCCAGCCACUAACUUCUUUCUUAAAAUAAUUUUCCUGCCCCCCUUCCUUCAACAGUAAUCAAUGUCUACCACCGCCUCUAUUAAUUCUGCCACUGAUUUUGUGAUAACUCUUCACAAAUACUGAAUGAUGUAACUUGAAGGCAGUUUUUGUUGUCUGAAUCUGCUUGAUGCCAGCUUAUGGUUGGCUAUAAUGCUCAGAAAUAGAAGCAAUGAUUAGACAAUACAAAGAGAUACUAGUUUAAUGUAAGGAAGAAUAUUUUCAUCCUUAUCACUUACUGUAUUUACUUUAUAUUCCACAUUACAAGGAGCCACUUCAACAUGAACACCAAGCCAUCUUAAGUUUAUUAAGAUCCUAAUAAUGUUUAAGCAUUGGUUAUGUGAAUAUAGAAUGAUGAUCCCACUUUGGAUUUUACAUUCAAGUAUAAGAAAUAUCUAUUAAUCAACUUCUUUCAGGAGUGUUACAGAUGGUAGAGUCUGUUUCAACUUUGGGUGCAGGGCUUAACACAUUCUUUAACACAAUAAAUCAACAUUACUGAGAAACAAAGUAAUUAUAAGAACUCUUCUAAUUCUAGGAAUCAAUGAUUUUAUAUCAAUCAUAUGGAAAGAGGUAAAAGUGCAUGCUUCAUGUUAUGUUACUUUCUUUUGCUUGAGAAUGCUAAAUUUGUAAAACUAUAUAAUAUGACAUACUUGUGACUGAAUUGUAAGAGAUUUUAUCUAAUAUUGCUUUAGAAUACAGAAGUAAUUGUUUCAAAGGAUAAAGGAUGGAAGAUUCUGAUAAAGCUUGCUUACUUUUUGGGGGAAGGCGUGGGGGGAAAUGUCUCAGUGCCCAAGGUCAGUGGCCUUCCUGACUGAAGACUUUCCCAGAGUAGAGGAUAAGAGUGGGAACAGGAAGAGCAGUUUAAAGUCAUCUUCACAACAUUCUGGUGAGUGACUGAUUGCUUCAGCAGCAAACAGGCACAUGGUAAAAAUAUUGGUAAUGUGAAUUUAGUGUUGUUACUGUCAUUUUUUUCUUUAUUAACUAUGAUUUUGCUUACAGAUAGCAGUCAGAGUAGUAGUAUAUUGAUAAUAAUGAACCUCUUAGGGUUGCUGGUUUGGUGUUUCAAAGUUUUUCAGUUAUCCAUAUUAAACUUUUAAAGAUAUCUUGUGUGAAAAUUCAUUUCAAAUUACAUAGAAUUAAGAUACUAUGUUAUUUAGGAUAGACAAAUUAAGUGUGUUUGUCAUGAUUCUAUAAAUUGAUCUUAUUUGCUAUCAAAUAUUUUAAUUCAUGAAUGUAGUGUGAUAAAAUUUGUUAAAAAUAAUAGGCACACAUAUUUUCAUUGUAUUUAAAUUGCAAUCUGGCCUAUUCAAAAUUAACAUAGAUUGAUUUUGACCAAAGAGGUCUAGAAAGCAAGACCUUUUGUAAGAGAAGUGGAAAACAGAGUCAUUUCUUAGUUUCAUUCCACUAACCAAGAUGAAGCUGGGUCACAGAUUGCUGUAGACAUUUUUAAGUAACUCCGUGGAUCCCUCUCCUUCCACCCACUUUUCUCUGCUAUAUUCACAGAUAAUUCUCUACAUAUUUAUCGUUUGGGAGGGAAAAUGACUCUCCAAGAGUUAACUUCAAUUACACAUUGGUGGGCAGUAACUGUGCUGAGUGCCAGUCAGAACUGUAUGUCAAAAAUGCCACCUUCUCUCUUAUUAAUGCUGACUUAGCAAAAACAGAGGGAAUUUAGGGCAAGUCAGAAUUCUUGUUUCAUUGUCCUAUUUUCAGUAAGAGAAGGAAUUUAGGACAACUUAGAAUUUUUUCUCCUGCCCUAUUUUAUUGCACGUAUGUUUAUUCAUAUUCAGCAAAAAGAAUCCCAAUUUUAGCCUUUGUUGUCUUCAUGUCCAAAAAGUAUUUUCCCAAUUAAUUUAAUUUUUUUAUUUUAAAAUUAAUAUAUCUGGCUAAAGACAUUAGAAAAAUUAUAUCAACUGAACAAAAUUUUUAAAUGACUCAUAGUUCCACCGGCAAAGGAAUAAACUCGGCUUUGAGU